This 501-nucleotide ribosomal RNA is filed under the name uncultured bacterium. RNAcentral's name for it is "bacterial SSU rRNA". It matches the Rfam family "Bacterial small subunit ribosomal RNA", at positions 20 to 518 of the family's 1533-position model. The record is from RNAcentral.
UGGCUCAGGACGAACGCUGGCGGCGUGCCUAACACAUGCAAGUCGAACGAAGCUGGGAGAAAGAUUCUUCGGAAUGAAUUCUCUAAGACUGAGUGGCGGACGGGUGAGUAACGCGUGAGCAACCUGCCCUUCGGAGGGGGAUAGUGUCUGGAAACGGACAGUAAUACCGCAUAACGUACAGAUACGGCAUCGUGACUGUACCAAAGAUUUAUCGCCGAAGGAUGGGCUCGCGUCUGAUUAGAUAGUUGAUGGGGUAACGGCCUACCAAGUCGACGAUCAGUAGCCGGACUGAGAGGUUGAUCGGCCACAUUGGGACUGAGACACGGCCCAGACUCCUACGGGAGGCAGCAGUGGGGAAUAUUGCACAAUGGGCGCAAGCCCUGAUGCAGCAACGCCGCGUGGAGGAAGACGGUUUUCGGAUUGUAAACUCCUGUUCUUAGGGAAGAAGACAGUGACGGUACCUAAGGAGAAAGCCACGGCUAACUACGUGCCAGCCGCCGC